Molecule: ribosomal RNA, 365 nt
Filed under: Attheya septentrionalis
Lineage: Eukaryota; Bacillariophyta; Biddulphiophyceae; Attheyales; Attheyaceae
Description: partial Eukaryotic large subunit ribosomal RNA
Rfam family: Eukaryotic large subunit ribosomal RNA
Source: RNAcentral
GUAAAUUCCAUCUAAAGCUAAAUAUUGGCGAGAGACCGAUAGCGAACAAGUACAGUGAUGGAAAGAUGAAAAGAACUUUGAAAAGAGAGUGAAAAAGUACGUGAAAUUGUUGAAAGGGAAGGGCUUGAGAUCAGACUUGGUGUUUUGUGAUUAUCUUUCCUUCUUGGAUUGUGCACUCGCAUUAUACUGGGCCAGCAUCGGUUUGGGUGGUAGGAUAAUGACAUUGGAAUGUGGCUCUACUUCGGUGGAGUGUUAUAGACUUUGUUGAUACUGCCUACCUAGACCGAGGACUGCGUCUUUUGACUAGGAUGCUGGCGUAAUGAUCUUAAGCCGCCCGUCUUGUAACACGGACCAAGGAGUCUAAC